AGACAAACUCUAAUCCUUAAAACAAAAACAGAAACAAAACAAAACAAAACAAAACAAAAAACACACUCUCUCUUUCUGUCUAUGACUCUCUAUCUCUAUCUCUCUCUGUGCCUUUUCAGCUUCUGUGCUUGCUUCUUCUUUCUUCUUAGGCUUCUGUGACACUCUGAACUGGUGGUUGUUCAAGAGGGUCAUUGUUUCUUGAGGAAUAUGCAAACACUGUAGUGUGACUGUCCUUAUAGAGUACAAUGCCUCUUGAACCACUCUACUCUGGUUGACACUCCAGAAAAGACCUGGCCAGUUGUUUUUUCUCUGUUUUUGAAGAGAUUUUGUGGAUAAGGCCAUUGUGUUAGAUCUUGUAAUUACUGACAUAUUAGGUCCAAAUCUGGUUAACUUGGUUUACAUGUGAUAGCUUAUAUAUAACCAAAGAGAGGAUUUUAGCUCCGAGAGCUUAAGUUUUCUUUUUCCUGGGCAUUUCUGUAAGUUUGUUGCAUAAGCAUGCCUCCGUGGUGGGGAAAGUCUUCAUCCAAAGAAGUAAAGAAGAAAACAAACAGGGAAAGUUUCAUUGAUUCAAUACACCGAAAGUUUAACAGUAGAUCAGGAGGGUCUCGCAGACGUUGUAGUGACACUGUUUCAGAAAGGGGGACUCGAUCCAGGGUGCCUUCAAGAUCACCAUCACCCUCCACACAAGUGUCACGCUGUCAAAGUUUUGCAGAAAGGCCUCAUGCCCAGCCGCUCCCACUUCCUGGGGUACACCUUCCUAGAAUUGGGCGUACUAACUCGGGAAUCAGUGCAUCAGCAAAGCCAGGAUUUGACAGAGGCUCUAAGUCGCAUUUUUUCCCCCUUCCAAGACCUGGAUGUGUCCUGAACAGGGCAGAUCCUGCGGAUGCUGAAGCUGAUAUAGCUACUGCUUCAUUUUCUAGUGAUAGCUCCAUUGAUAGUGAUGAUCCAUCUGACUCACGUUUCCUUAGCCCUCUAGCUUCUGACUAUGAAAAUGGUAACAGAACCACCAUGAACAGUCCUUCCAGUGGAAUGCACAAGGAUCAAUCCCCUGUUGUCAAUCUAAAGAACUCAAAGGAGAUAUUGAAACCAGUUAAUCCUUUCAAUAAUCCGCUUCUCUCUUCAUCACCUAAACGGAGACCUUUGCAUAUGCAAAAUAUACAGAUCCCUCCCCAUGGUGCUUUCUGUAGUGCUCCAGACAGUUCAAUGUCAAGUCCUUCUAGAAGUCCGAUGAGAGUGUUUAUGCCUGAGCAAGUUAUUAAUUCUAACUUCUGGGCGGGAAAAUCUUAUCCAGAUGUAGCUUCUGGGCACUGCUCUAGUCCAGGUUCAGGUCAUAAUUCUGGGCAUAAUUCAGUAGGGGGGGAUAUGUCAGGACAGCUGCUUUGGCCGCACAGCAGGUGUAGUCCCGAGUGUUCCCCAAUUCCUAGUCCCAGAAUGACAAGCCCUGGUCCUGGCUCCAGAAUACACAGUGGUGCUGUCACCCCUUUGCAUCCGCGAACUGGAGGAGCUGCCAUAGAUUCGCCUGCAACCCGGCCUGAUGAUGGCAAACAACAAAGCCACCGGUUACCCCUUCCUCCGUUAACAAUUUCAAAACCUUGUCCUUUUUCUCCCACGUAUUCAGCAGCUACAACUCCCUCAGUUCCACGGAGUCCUGGUAGGGCAGAAAAUCCAACAAGCCCUGGUUCACGAUGGAAGAAGGGACGUCUGCUAGGGAGGGGUACAUUUGGACAUGUAUAUCUCGGUUUUAACAGUGAAAGUGGCGAGAUGUGUGCAAUGAAAGAGGUUACUCUGUUUUCAGAUGAUGCAAAAUCAAAAGAAAGUGCACAGCAACUUGGCCAAGAAAUUGCACUGCUAAGCCGCUUACAGCAUCCAAAUAUAGUACAGUAUUAUGGAUCUCAGUCGGUAGAUGACAAAUUAUAUAUAUAUCUAGAGUAUGUAUCUGGCGGUUCCAUCUAUAAACUGCUUCAAGACUAUGGUCAACUUGGUGAAAUUGCCAUUCGCAGUUAUACUCAUCAAAUUUUGCAAGGCCUUGCAUAUCUUCAUAAUAAAAACACAGUCCAUAGGGACGUCAAAGGAGCAAAUAUUCUGGUAGACCCCAAUGGCCGAGUGAAACUAGCAGAUUUUGGAAUGGCAAAGCAUAUCUCUGGUCAGUCUUGUCCAUUAUCAUUCAAGGGAAGCCCUUACUGGAUGGCACCUGAGGUUAUCAAGAAUACAAUUAAAAAUGGUUGUAAUCUUGCUGUUGAUAUAUGGAGCCUUGGAUGCACUGUUUUAGAGAUGGCUACAGCAAAACCACCUUGGAGCCAGUAUGAAGGGGUUGCUGCCAUGUUUAAGAUUGGAAAUAGCAAGGAACUUCCUGAAAUUCCUGAUCAUCUGUCAGAGGAUGGAAAGGCUUUUGUGAAGCUGUGCUUGCAGCGUAAUCCAUUAUAUCGUCCUACAGCUGCUCAGCUUUUGGAGCACCCUUUCGUUAGGAACGCUGCACCACUGGAUAGAUCCAUUUUGAGUGCAGAUCCUUCAGAUGCACCACUGGUCAAUUCAAAUGCAGUGAGAUCUCUGGGCAUUGGAAAUGCACGAAAUCCUUCAUGCUUAGACUCAGAAGGAGUGGGAAUCCAUCAGUCUAGAGGGUCAAAAACUGCUUCAGUAUCCAGUGAUGCUCAUACGCCAAGAAAUAUAUCAUGCCCGGUUUCUCCCAUUGGGAGCCCUCUUCUACGUUCAAGGUCACCACAACAUCUGAGCGGAAGGAUGUCUCCCUCUCCCAUAUCUAGCCCUCGUACCACAUCUGGUUCAUCCACACCCCUUACUGGUGGUAGUGGUGCCAUCCCAUUUAAUCACCUGAAGCAGCCAACCAUCUACCUACAUGAAGGUGUAGGAAUGAUCCAAAGGGGUCAAAGCAGUUUCUAUGCUAAUGGCUGCACUCUCUAUCAUGAGCCAAAGCCUGAGUUAUUUCGAGGGAUGCCACAAGCUUCUCAUGCCUUCCAUGAUAUGAUUUCAUCUGAUAAUGGUGCUCCUGGAAACCAGAUGGGAUGGCCUCUCCAUGCUGACACCAAGGAAAUGCAUGCUAGACAGCUGGCUUUGGCUGAUCAUGUAUCUGAGCAACUCUUGAGGGAUCACAUAAAGAAAAAUUUAUCCAUGGAACAUAAUAACAGCUCACUGGUGCUUGGUCGCAGCAAUCAAAUCUGAUUUACACAUGAAUCCCUGACAAGAGCAGGAUUUUCAGGCAUGCUAGAUUGCUUUCUGAUGCUUCAAGGGCAUCAUAUUCAUGGCCAAUAUCAAUUUAUACUUAGGAAUUGAACUUGGGGAAGCAAUUGAAUAACUGUGGAUCUUAGAAGCCUAGAUGACAGCAGAGAUACAUGCUUUUGAAAUGACAUCACAAUUCAGUUGAUCAGUUCACAUGAAGAUGGCCUCAGAAGAUCCAGCAGUAAGGCAGCUCCUACUAUGAAGAACAUUUCUGCUUGUGUAAAGAAAUGUACAUUUUUACCACACCCAGGAAACAGAAAAGGUAUAAAAGCUGUUACCAUAUGGACUGUCAAAGCUUUUUUCAUUUUUUUAUUCAUUUUGGAAGGGGGGGAAUGAUGGCAACAGGGCAGGAUCUUUUGUACAGAAUGAUGGGGAUUCAUUAGUCAAGAUGGCAGUUUAGAAUUUGCUAGGCUUGGUCUUUUACUUUGUAUCUACAUUAUACCUCCAUCAAAUUGAAGAAAUCUGAUUCAUCUUGUA
This is an RNA transcript of Quercus robur (English oak), 3708 nucleotides long. It is a transcript of the gene named mitogen-activated protein kinase kinase kinase YODA, with no coding region annotated. The transcript has 13 exons. NCBI's taxonomy places the organism in Eukaryota, Viridiplantae, Streptophyta, Magnoliopsida, Fagales, Fagaceae. The record is from RefSeq and is a predicted model, not a curated record.